RNAcentral lists this ribosomal RNA (993 nucleotides) under Triticum aestivum (bread wheat). RNAcentral describes it as "partial small subunit ribosomal RNA". Lineage: Eukaryota; Viridiplantae; Streptophyta; Magnoliopsida; Poales; Poaceae. The record is from RNAcentral.
AUGCUGACUGAUGACAUAUUAUUAUCUAUCUUGGGGAGAGUUGACACAGCCACGGCAACACGAACUAGCGUGUUGUCAAAGCGGUGGAGAGAUUUGCCAUGGUUGCUUCCUGUGCUCAACCUUCGUGUCUGGGAUUUUCUGCCCCAUUCAUGCCCAGAACCCAUUGCAGCACAUCACAUGGAUCAAGCAAUGUCACGUCUAACCAAAGCAACUAGGAGUUUGUUGGCUGACCCAAACAGCAAAUCCACCAUCAUCAAAAGGCUAAGCCUUCAGCUCUAUGUGACCGGCGAUUACGCACUUGAGAUUGGCUCACUGGCUUGCGACGCGAUUGAUUGCGGGGUAGUAAAAAACAUGUGCCUUGCAAUUGUUGAUGAGAAGGAUCCUAGAGACUGUGAACAUGAGUAUAUGCUACAGCAAGCCCUGGCCGUCGAUGGGUUUUUAACAGCCUAUCCUAGUGUGUUUCAGUGCCUCACAAAGCUCCGUCUGUAUAAUGUGUGGUUUGCUGAGUGGGAUAUGCAACACCUCCUGUUUGACUCCUGCAAGCAACUCAAGCAAUUAUCUCUGUCCCACUGUGAUGUUGGGGACUCUUCAGUAUGGCAGAUAAAUGCACCAGAUUCCAAACUCAGAAUCCUUGAAGUCCGCAUGUCCUGCUUGAAGAGAAUUGAGGUGCUCUGCCUACCAAAACUGAAGCAUCUAAGUUGGGACGAGUGGUUUUGUUUCGAGGCCCCCUUGCGUUUUGGUUCUGUUCCAUCCCUCAAGGUGCAGGGCCUUAUUUGUGGUGCAACCAUUGAUCAUCAGGAGUUUAGUCUGAGCCAGGUUCUACAUGGUACCAGAAACAUCCAUACUCUUCCCCUAGCUCGACGGCGGAGGCCGAAUCAAUGGCGGCGGCGAGCAAUAUGGCGGAGUUUGCAGACCUACGCCACAACGGGCUUGAAUUUCUGCUGGAUCCGCUUGACAGAGGUUCCCGCUUGGAGAGGUCACUGCGGAUGUUGA